RNAcentral lists this small nuclear RNA (108 nucleotides) under Auxenochlorella protothecoides. RNAcentral's name for it is "U5 spliceosomal RNA". It matches the Rfam family "U5 spliceosomal RNA". From Rfam's summary of the family: U5 RNA is a component of both types of known spliceosome. The precise function of this molecule is unknown, though it is known that the 5' loop is required for splice site selection and p220 binding, and that both the 3' stem-loop and the Sm site are important for Sm protein binding and cap methylation. Lineage: Eukaryota; Viridiplantae; Chlorophyta; Trebouxiophyceae; Chlorellales; Chlorellaceae. The record is from Rfam by way of RNAcentral.
UAUGGCGUCGUAGAUACGAACGAGUUGCAAUUCCGCCUUUUACUGAAUCGCACCGCGUAUCUUCGACACAACGCCACAUUAAGAAUUUUUAGUUGACGCUUUGCGUCU